Cydia strobilella is the source of this 663-nucleotide long non-coding RNA. RefSeq lists it as uncharacterized. NCBI's taxonomy places the organism in Eukaryota, Metazoa, Arthropoda, Insecta, Lepidoptera, Tortricidae. The record is from RefSeq and is a predicted model, not a curated record. The transcript has 2 exons.
UAUCAGUUCUGUGACAACCGCUGUGUAUAUCACACAGCUUUAUUGUAAUCGAGGAUUAAUUAUUGAAGAAAUGUUCCCGGGUCAUCAUCCUCCCGGUCCACCAGGACCCCCCGGCCACCAUCCACCAGGCCCGCCAGGUCACCAUCACGGUCCACCUGGACCCCCUCAUCAUCCAGGGCCACAUGGUCCACCGGGAGUACAUUUGCCUCCAGGGCCCCAUGGCCCACCUGGUCAUUUUGGACCCCCUGGUCAUCAUGGACCUCCUGGCCACCCAGGACCUCACCCUCGCUAAGUAUUAAAAAUAAUGUCUAAAAUAUGGUGAUUCAGAAAACGCGAUCAGAAAUAACAAGACGUGAUGAAGAAUAUAGGAGAAUAUAAAUAAGUUGGCAUCUACCUCAAAUUGAAAACAAUACAUUUUUAAACAAUUUGGUCACCCUACAGCGAUCACUCGAUCAGUGUUAUGUCACUUUCCGUCAUGUACGUGCACAAAGUCAAAGAUAGACCAUAAUUUACAAGAGUUGCUAACUUUCUUGAACUAAAUACCUAAAACAAAAAAAUAACUAGUAUUUGUAAAAGUUAUGUUUAUUAUGCCUAUUAAACGAUAUUAUGUUAGAAUAGUUUAUUACUGAUCGUAUCUCUUAAUAAAUCAUAUUAUUCAAUUUG